CGGGGCGUGGCUCAGCCUGGUAGAGCGCCUGCUUUGGGAGCAGGAUGUCGCAAGUUCGAAUCUUGUCGCCCCGA
RNAcentral lists this transfer RNA (74 nucleotides) under Acetobacter sp. CAG:977. It matches the Rfam family "tRNA". Rfam says of the family: Transfer RNA (tRNA) molecules are approximately 80 nucleotides in length. Their secondary structure includes four short double-helical elements and three loops (D, anti-codon, and T loops). The record is from Rfam by way of RNAcentral. Lineage: Bacteria; Pseudomonadati; Pseudomonadota; Alphaproteobacteria; Acetobacterales; Acetobacteraceae.